CCAUUUCUUGCAUGUUUUUAUGUGAUGUUCUCAUGAUGUUUUAGGGGGUUUUUGGGGAGUAGUUUAUAGUUAUGUUCAGGUGUGUUUGGUCCCUCAUUUGAGUCCACCUGUGUAGGUUCGGAUCCGAGGAACCGAGGACCCCAGCAGUGAGUUCAGCUGCUUCGGUGUUGUCAGAGUCAGCCAGAGGUGAGUGGAACUAAACUUAAUCUUUUAAAUUAAAUGUUUUAUCAUGUUUCAUGCAUCAUGAUUAUGCAAUAGGGUGAUUGCAUUAGUUUCACGAAUAUGCCGCAUUGCAUCAUGUGUUGUUGAUGUGGGUGAAUGUUGGAUGACCCAAUUAGUCCAUGACAGGAAGACCAGGACCCCAUUCUACGGCCUGGCACGGAAAUGAAAGACCAGGACCCCAUUCUACGGCCUGGCACGAUUGUGGACUCGAAGACCAGGAGCCUAGAAGAGGCCCUGGAAUAAUGGUAAGUAAUGUAUGUAUGACAGGAAGACCAGGACCCCAUGCUACGGCCUGGCACUAUGUUAGCUUGGACUAAUUGGUGACAAGUUCACCCAACCCUUAUGUGAAUUGUUUGUGUUAUGAUGCAUUUCAUAGAGCAUAGUAUUUAUGUGUUUU
RNAcentral lists this long non-coding RNA (619 nucleotides) under Manihot esculenta (cassava). RNAcentral describes it as "long non-coding RNA (MESC_LNC010072)". The record is from RNAcentral. Lineage: Eukaryota; Viridiplantae; Streptophyta; Magnoliopsida; Malpighiales; Euphorbiaceae.